Notothenia coriiceps (black rockcod) is the source of this 1659-nucleotide long non-coding RNA. RefSeq lists it as uncharacterized. The transcript is spliced from 2 exons. The record is from RefSeq and is a predicted model, not a curated record. Lineage: Eukaryota; Metazoa; Chordata; Actinopteri; Perciformes; Nototheniidae.
CCUCUAGCCAUCCAUACUGCAGCCUGUCCAAGCCAUAUUCAUUGGCCUUGUCCUGGCUCUGCUGUACUGGUGUUUCGGCCAGUUGUGGUAGAAAGAGCGGCUGGAGCCCCUGGAUGCCGGUCAUCGCAGUGAUGGUCGCCGUGACGGCAGCCGUCCUCUACCCCAACUUCUCCAAGAGCAGCUCCACCUAGAACACACACACUCACACACACUCACAGAAACAGAGAGCGCUGUGAGGAGAGCAUCACUGCUUUACUUGUAUAAAGUCUAAUUGUACAUAAUUGUAGAGGGAUUAUAAAGGUUGUGGUUUCUACAGAGGAUUCAGAAGCUUCUCGGUUUAUUUUGUUUUUGUGUUGUUGUUGUUUUCUGCGGCGGGGAGUUUUGUUGUCGUUUUUAUUCUCGGCUCUCUCAGCUGUGGUGGGGGCUUCCUCUGUUGGUUUCUCUGCUGAUUUCUGGGUUAAUAAAGCGUUCUCCAGCAGGCCGGCUUCCACACAGAAACCCUGCCAGAGGUGGCGCUCACAUCCCCGGGAUGCAAGCGAACGCAACACUUUCCAGCAGAGAUAUUUGGUGCCAGGCUACCACAAAUAUGCAAAUUGGCUAUUUUAAUUCCAAAAACAUUGCUCAUCCUUUCCUUUUUUUGUCAGGGAAGAAAAAAUGAUAAAUAAUGCGUUACAAACUUGGCAACGGAGGUUAUCAUUUUAUUAAAUGCUUAUUUGUUUCUGAACAUGCACUGCUAAAGCUCAGUAAAAACAAAAUGUCUGAUAUAUAAUGUGUUUUCUACCUAUUCUCCUGAGGCUCUGUAUAAAAGGAGUACAAAUCAAGUUUUAACAACUUUAAUAUUCCUCGUAAUGUUCUGUGGACAUUGUGCAUAUUCUUGAACAAAUCAGUGUUUGAUCAAAUUCUAACUCACGAGGGGCAUACUGUACUGUCUUAUUUGCUCCAGACCUAGCUAUUGUUCUUUUUGCUCUGUUUUAUUAAUACGGCCCCAAAUACAGUGUAACUACGCAGUACAUCUACAUCAAAUUGAACCGUCCGACUUUAAUAAAAAGACACAUUUAAAAAAAGUAAAUUCCUAUCAAUAAAAUGUCAGAAUUAAUAUUUAGAAAAGAGUGUCAUUUUCCCUGAACAUGAUUUGUCUGCUGGAAAGUGCUCGCGAUGUUUUCAGGAAGUCCGACUCUGCUCUGUUCCGGUUUAAGGCAGCCGUGUUAACAUGGACUUUUUAAUAUUUUUUGUCUUUACUUUUCUUUGGGAGUUUCAGGGUGGGGGGUUAAAACUUGAAGCCAAAUUAUUAAAAUAAAAAUUUAUGUUUUUUUCAUUCUUGUGGCACAGAAACGGGGCUUAAAGUGCCUCUGAUGUAACUUACACCACCGUUUGUGUAUGUGUGCGGACAAACGCAACCACACACUUUCUCGACACACACACACACACACACACACACUUGUUUUUUGACUGCCAGAGGUCUGUCAGUGUUUCGAGAGGAGAGAAGCUGAAGUUGCUAAUCCACAAUAUUUCAUCCGCUUCUACCUGAGCUUUCUCCGGGUGAAGGAGCCUGUAACGUGGUGGUUAAAGCUCAUAAACAAAUCUUGUAAAUUGACAUUCAUUUUAGAUUAUUUCAUCAAACUAUUGUGGAUUUAGCCCAACGAUUCCCGUCAACUGAAA